UAGAGUUUGAUCAUGGCUCAGAUUGAACGCUGGCGGCAGGCCUAACACAUGCAAGUCGAGCGGAAACGAGAAGUAGCUUGCUACUUCGGCGUCGAGCGGCGGACGGGUGAGUAAUGCCUGGGAAAUUGCCUUGAUGUGGGGGAUAACCAUUGGAAACGAUGGCUAAUACCGCAUAAUGCUUUUGUUUGUAAUGAACGGGAGCCAAAGAGGGGGACCUUCGGGCCUCUCGCGUCAAGAUAUGCCCAGGUGGGAUUAGCUAGUUGGUGAGGUAAUGGCUCACCAAGGCGACGAUCCCUAGCUGGUCUGAGAGGAUGAUCAGCCACACUGGAACUGAGACACGGUCCAGACUCCUACGGGAGGCAGCAGUGGGGAAUAUUGCACAAUGGGCGCAAGCCUGAUGCAGCCAUGCCGCGUGUAUGAAGAAGGCCUUCGGGUUGUAAAGUACUUUCAGCAGUGAGGAAGGUGGAUGUGUUAAUAGCACAUUCAUUUGACGUUAGCUGCAGAAGAAGCACCGGCUAACUCCGUGCCAGCAGCCGCGGUAAUACGGAGGGUGCGAGCGUUAAUCGGAAUUACUGGGCGUAAAGCGCAUGCAGGUGGUUUGUUAAGCAAGAUGUGAAAGCCCGGGGCUCAACCUCGGAACAGCAUUUUGAACUGGCAGACUAGAGUACUGUAGAGGGGGGUAGAAUUUA
RNAcentral lists this ribosomal RNA (689 nucleotides) under uncultured Vibrionaceae bacterium. RNAcentral describes it as "bacterial SSU rRNA". It matches the Rfam family "Bacterial small subunit ribosomal RNA", at positions 1 to 670 of the family's 1533-position model. The record is from RNAcentral. Lineage: Bacteria; Pseudomonadati; Pseudomonadota; Gammaproteobacteria; Vibrionales; Vibrionaceae.